This 392-nucleotide transfer-messenger RNA is filed under the name Patescibacteria group. RNAcentral's name for it is "UBA10151 sp001776635 Standard tmRNA". It matches the Rfam family "transfer-messenger RNA". From Rfam's summary of the family: Bacterial tmRNA, also known as 10Sa RNA or SsrA, is named for its dual tRNA and mRNA-like properties. Its role is to liberate the mRNA from a stalled ribosome. To accomplish this part of the tmRNA is used as a reading frame that ends in a translation stop signal. RNAcentral also lists the same sequence under 2 other names. The record is from RNAcentral.
GGGGAUGUAUAGUCUCGACAGGAUUGCUCUUUAAAAACUGCAAGCUGUUAAGGAUACAUUAAACAUAAAAUAUUGUAUCAAAACACAAACGCCAAUAAAUUUGUGCGUUCCGCUGUUGCAUUCGUGCAACAAGCACUUGCUCCACAAGUUCGUGUAGCAUACGCCUAAGCGGUAUUCUGGAUGAUCCCUUUCAGGCUGGAUCGCCAGGAUAAGUACCCAGUCUGAAUGCAGUUGUGAUAUCUAAUCCAUAUUCGCAACAAAGAAAUUUGGAUUAAGCGUUAAUCUUCCUGCUGACGGGUUACAAAUUAACGCUCAAAAAAUACAUCAGCUAAGCUUGUAGAAGUUUUAAAAGUCACAAUUUUGGACUCGGCUCACAGCCGACAUCUCCACAA